UGCCUCAGUAACUGCGAGUGAAGCGGCAAAAGCUCAAAUUUGAAAUCGGUGCCCACAAGUCGCAUCGAGUUGUAAUUUGGAGGGACAACUUCGGGCUGAACCACAUCGUAAGUUCCUUGGAACAGGACGUCACAGAGGGUGAGAAUCCCGUGUCUCGAUGUCGGGUCAAAACCAGGUGAAGUGUCUCCGACGAGUCGAGUUGUUUGGGAAUGCAGCUCAAAAUGGGUGGUAAAUUUCAUCUAAAGCUAAAUAUUGGCGAGAGACCGAUAGCGCACAAGUAGAGUGAUCGAAAGAUGAAAAGCACUUUGAAAAGAGAGUUAAAAAGUACGUGAAAUUGUUGAAAGGGAAGCGCUUGCGACCAGACUCGCUCGUCGGUGAUCGGCCGGGCUUCUGUCCGGUGGCCUCGCCAACGAUUGGGCCAGCAUCGGUUCUGACGGCAGGAUAAAAGGAGGAGGAAUGUGGCUCCCUUUGGCGAGUGUUAUAGCCACCUCCACAAUGCUGCCAGCUGGAACCGAGGACCGCGCUUCGGCUAGGAUGCUGGCGAAAUGGUCUCAAGCGACCCGUCUUGAAACACGGACCAAGGAGUCUAACAUCUAUGCGAGUGUUCGGGUGGAAAACCCUUGCGCGUAAUGAAAGUGAACGGAGGUGUGAACCCUUCACGGGGUGCAACAUCGACCGGUCCUGAUGUCUUCGGAAGGAUCUGAGUAAGAGCAUAGCUGUUGGGACCCGAAAGAUGGUGAACUAUGCCUGAAUAGGGUGAAGCCAGA
Molecule: ribosomal RNA, 767 nt
Filed under: Geopora clausa
Lineage: Eukaryota; Fungi; Ascomycota; Pezizomycetes; Pezizales; Pyronemataceae
Description: eukaryotic LSU rRNA
Rfam family: Eukaryotic large subunit ribosomal RNA
Source: RNAcentral